CCUCUUGAAUUCACAGAACGCGCGGCCUAGAUUAGAGGUGUCCUUCGGGACUAUGGACAUAAACGCGCUCGUAAUAAGCGGUUCGGACCCGGGGGCGGUACCCGGCGGCUCCACCAAAACCCGUUCAUUUGACGGUUCUGGGGUCGAAAUAGGAUCGACGAACGUCUAAAGGUGUAGCUUUGUUUCGGCUGACUGCCACCGUUAUCGGCGUAAAAUGUACAAUUGCAAAUGACAAUCGUGCUCCAAUGGCGAUGGCCGCGUAAGCGACCGGAACUGUUGAAAAUUAAGUCCUUGCGCUUAGCGGUGUAAGGCGGGGUUCGCAGGCACCUGGCAACAGAAGCCUGCACU
Molecule: transfer-messenger RNA, 348 nt
Filed under: Sulfitobacter brevis
Lineage: Bacteria; Pseudomonadati; Pseudomonadota; Alphaproteobacteria; Rhodobacterales; Roseobacteraceae
Description: Alphaproteobacteria transfer-messenger RNA
Rfam family: Alphaproteobacteria transfer-messenger RNA
About the family: Bacterial tmRNA, also known as 10Sa RNA or SsrA, is named for its dual tRNA and mRNA-like properties. Its role is to liberate the mRNA from a stalled ribosome.
Source: Rfam by way of RNAcentral